Small nuclear RNA from Trichechus manatus latirostris (Florida manatee), 190 nucleotides. RefSeq annotates it as U2 spliceosomal RNA. The transcript has a single exon. Lineage: Eukaryota; Metazoa; Chordata; Mammalia; Sirenia; Trichechidae. The record is from RefSeq and is a predicted model, not a curated record.
UUUGAUUCUCGGCCUUUUGGCUAAGAUCAAGUGUAGCAUCUGUCCUUAUCAGUUUAAUAUCUGAUACAUCCUCUACCCAAGGACAAAGAAAAAAAAUUAUAUAGAUAGUUCUAUAUAAAGUCAAUUGAUUUUAACAAUUGUACAGUGUUUAUAUAAGAAAAUGUCCUUGUUUUUAGGAAAUACACACUGA